Molecule: ribosomal RNA, 492 nt
Filed under: uncultured bacterium
Lineage: Bacteria
Description: partial 16S ribosomal RNA
Rfam family: Bacterial small subunit ribosomal RNA
Source: RNAcentral
AGUGAACGCUGGCGGUAGGCCUAACACAUGCAAGUCGAACGGCAGCACAGUAAGAGCUUGCUCUUACGGGUGGCGAGUGGCGGACGGGCGAGGAAUACAUCGGAAUCUACUUUUUCGUGGGGGAUAACGUAGGGAAACUUACGCUAAUACCGCAUACGACCUACGGGUGAAAGCAGGGGAUCUUCGGACCUUGCGCGAUUGAAUGAGCCGAUGUCGGAUUAGCUAGUUGGCGGGGUAAAGGCCCACCAAGGCGACGAUCCGUAGCUGGUCUGAGAGGAUGAUCAGCCACACUGGAACUGAGACACGGUCCAGACUCCUACGGGAGGCAGCAGUGGGGAAUAUUGGACAAUGGGCGCAAGCCUGAUCCAGCCAUACCGCGAGGGUGAAGAAGGCCUUCGGGUUGUAAAGCCCUUUUGUUGGGAAAGAAAAGCAGCAGGUUAAUACCCCGCUGUUCUGACGGUACCCAAAGAAUAAGCACCGGCUAACUUCGUG